AAUUUCAAGCACCCCUCUCUCUCUCACCGUACUCCCAUCUUCCUCUUCUCUCUGCCACCGCCUUACUCCCUUCAACCCCGGCGGCUACUGCCGCCGCCAGCCACCACCGCCACGGUAUCCCCUCUGUAUGCCUCGCAUCUGCCUCCCUCUCGUUCCUUCUCUAAAUCAUGAAAAAUCCCCAAAAAUCCCUAGCUUCCUCCCCCAACAAUUUCCGGCGAUAUUACCGCCUGAACCACCCAUUUCUUCUUCAGUCGACAGCAGCGGUCAGCCGGACCGUCGUCGUCCUCGCCUCCCUCAUCUCUCAAGCCCCUAUAAAGAUUCGAUUUUUCCUCUUUCCCUUCCAUUUGAAAUCCCUCCAAUCCCAGCGGCGCCUGUCCUAGAACCCUAGCCUCCCUGACCCCGGCAACCGCCUCCUUCCACCCCGGCGUCCAACCGCCCUUCACCCCGGCGCAGCGCAGCCACAGCUUCUCCAUCACUUGACGGGUUUUUCUAAAGCCAAAAUCAAACACUCACAUUAGUUUGUUUGAUUUUUUGUUUCUCUGCUCGGAGGUGUUCUCUGUGCAAAAUCAGAUCAGAAAUUCAAUUGCUCAGAGGUGAUUCUAGCAACUCUGCUCGGAGGUGUUGAUCUCAGUAUUGUAGGUGCUCUUUUCUGGAAACUAUUUUGCUUCUAAUAGAAAUUUACUUUAAGAUAAAUUCCAUAAAUAUUUCCAAGUCUAUUGCAUAUUUGUCUCCUAUGAAUCGCUCUUAGGAAAAUAACGUAAUCGUUCUUCUCUUUCACUCAUCUUUAUUGUGACUGUGAGUCAUUUUCUUCGUGGUUUAUUGCAGUAUAUCAAGUUACCAGAUAAUUGUGUUAAUUGAUAAGAUAUAUCUGCUGUGAUAUGCAAUAUGUGUAAAUGAAAACAGGCACGCGAGAAAGAUAAGCAAUAACCUGAUAAUUGUGUUAAUUGAUGAGUCUUAAUAUAAACAGAAGAGUUGUUAUCCAUGUACAGAAUCUAUUUGCUUAUAUAUGCAACAGAUUUGAAUUUCAAGUGUUUAAUUUUGGCCCAGCUGACACCGGUUGUCUUGUUUUCAUAAUGCAAAUUGCUCAUUAGCUUAUCCUAUCUGCACUAUAAUAUCUUUUCCUAGACUAAGAUGAUUGUUCUUCCUUAAUUUCUUGUUAGAGGAGUUUGAAGUUGUUAUCUGACAGCCAAGUUCUGGUAUGUGUCACGUGACAAAUUGGUAUAAGAAGUUUUAUAUUGAUAGGAAACAUUAGUUCUAUAUUUCUCUACAGAAAAGGACAAGCAUUAAUUAGAUUUUAAAUAAUUUAUGUGCAUUAAUCUAUUGCUCAAUUAGCCUUGAUUACAUAUUUUCAUUAACUUGUAGGAAGAUGGCUGGUGGGAUUAGUUUCAUGACAUGUUAUGCACGAACUGAAGUCAUGCAGAACAAGUAGGUGAUAAUUUAGUGCAGAUGACCAUAACUAACAGGUGUUCAUGUAUUUUACAAUGGCUUCUGUAAACUCUUCUCUGUUUUAUUUUUCAGCCGCAGGACUUAUGGGCUUCUCUUUGAUUGGAUUUAUCCCAAUCUGCCUCACCUUCUCCCAGUCCGCCGCGCCCUUCUCCAUGGUCUGCCGUGCCUCCGUCCAGUCCCCUCAGUCCGCCGCGUCCAGUCACCUUAUUGUAGGAAUUUUGAGUCACACUCGUUUAUUUUUUAUGAUUGAUUUUCUUUGUUGUCACUUGUCCUUUUAGAGUUCUAUUUGCCUAUUGUCCUCAGACUACUUGCUCUUAUUUGUUUAUAGUUUUUUUAGUUUACACUAAUUGUUAUUGUCAAUUGAUAUAUUGUAAAUGUAGGCUUGAGAGAAGGAGAUGAAGAAACUUAAAACUACGAAAAAAAAAUAGCAGCAGCAAAAUCUUCAG
RNAcentral lists this long non-coding RNA (1892 nucleotides) under Salvia miltiorrhiza (redroot sage). Its description in RNAcentral is "long non-coding RNA (SMIL_LNC006197)". Lineage: Eukaryota; Viridiplantae; Streptophyta; Magnoliopsida; Lamiales; Lamiaceae. The record is from RNAcentral.